ACGUAUGGUGCAAGCGUUAUCCGGAUUUACUGGGUGUAAAGGGAGCGUAGACGGAGCAGCAAGUCUGGAGUGAAAACCCGGGGCUCAACCCCGGGACUGCUUUGGAAACUGUUGUUCUAGAGUGCUGGAGAGGUAAGUGGAAUUCCUAGUGUAGCGGUGAAAUGCGUAGAUAUUAGGAGGAACACCAGUGGCGAAGGCGGCUUACUGGACAGUAACUGACGUUGAGGCUCGAAAGCGUGGGGAGCAAACAG
RNAcentral lists this ribosomal RNA (251 nucleotides) under uncultured bacterium. Its description in RNAcentral is "partial 16S ribosomal RNA". It matches the Rfam family "Bacterial small subunit ribosomal RNA", at positions 525 to 775 of the family's 1533-position model. The record is from RNAcentral.